AACGAACGCUGGCGGCAUGCCUAACACAUGCAAGUCGAACGAAGCCUUCGGGCUUAGUGGCGCACGGGUGCGUAACGCGUGGGAAUCUGCCCUUGGGUUCGGAAUAACAGUUAGAAAUGACUGCUAAUACCGAAUGAUGUCUUCGGACCAAAGAUUUAUCGCCCAAGGAUGAGCCCGCGUCGGAUUAGCUGGUUGGUGAGGUAAAGGCUCACCAAGGCGACGAUCCGUAGCUGGUCUGAGGGGAUGAUCAGCCACACUGGGACUGAGACACGGCCCAGACUCCUACGGGAGGCAGCAGUGGGGAAUAUUGGACAAUGGCGAAAGCCUGAUCCAGCAAUGCCGCGUGAGUGAUGAAGGCCUUAGGGUUGUAAAGCUCUUUUACCCGGGAUGAUAAUGACAGUACCGGGAGAAUAAGCCCCCGGCUAACUCCGUGCCAGCAGCCGCGGUAAU
RNAcentral lists this ribosomal RNA (450 nucleotides) under uncultured bacterium. RNAcentral describes it as "bacterial SSU rRNA". It matches the Rfam family "Bacterial small subunit ribosomal RNA", at positions 29 to 524 of the family's 1533-position model. The record is from RNAcentral.